CUGACAAGAUUCGUUUUUUGAGUGGACUGGUGCACUGUGCAUCUAAAGAUGUUGAGCUCAAAAAGUAUUUGUAGAACAUUUCUUCUAAAAGGUUAGUCAUUUUAUCAAUAAGUUCAGGUUAAAACACCCAUAUACAAGCAGCAACAACAACAAUCAUCUCCGCACCAACAACAAGCUUAGGCACGACAACAACUUAACAGCUUAGCCACGACUACUACACCUUCAAAGCAUGAAUCAAAGUAAUAGCUUUUGGGAAUAUCCAAUCUUCGUAUAGAGAGUAGGUAUACCACCACCUCACCCGCGAAUGCCUCCUAUUUCUCCAUAUUCUCAGAUUCCUUUAACUAGUAUCAACAAAUGGGUAUGAAGAAUUUUAGUAGUCCGGCGCCAUCACAUUCACGAUCUUUAUCACAACCAACUGUUCUUUGUUGAAGAAAUUUUAUUCUGUAACAGGUUGAUCCACAAUUGAUACAACGUGAUUUAUAGUUGGAAACCAUCUAAUCAAUGUGUGUGGUUGCAUCCUUUGUUUUUGCGAAACUCGUGUUUCAUUUGUCGAGCAUUACGUUCCUAAUGUAAGGAUUCUCACACACCAAAUGGUUCUUUGAUACCCAAAUUUAGUGUAUAUUUUGAUGAUAUUUUUACUCAUGUCAUAUAGAGGAUAUGUAACAUUCAAUGCCUUAAUUUCACUUGACUAAGAACAGAACAACUUAUUAUGUUCGUUUUACUGUCCAGGCGCAGAAUGUAGUGUAUGAAGGGUACUUUAAUGGAGUUGAAGUCUCGUGAAAUUUCAAAAAUUAUGUAUUUGAUCAUCUUGUGAUUUUAUUAUUUGCCUAGCUUUUUUUCGUGGUCCGUGUCAUAUGUGCGUUAUAUGCAGGUUUCAUGGUUUUGUACCAAACAAUGUGAAUUAUCACCAUGUAAUAGAUGGAAAUACCCUGACCGAUGUUUACGCUAUCAAUCGCAGCGACUUGUGUGCUGUUUCAUUGUAUGUUCAGUUUUAAGGAAUUGGGAAAUUUUGGAAAGUCAGAGGCUUUGGUUGAAAUCAGAAUUCAAGAUGGGCAUUUUCUUUAUCCGGCUGCAACAACAAUACAUAGAGUAGAGUAGAGUGGAGUCCAAAACUCCACAAGGCUAAUUCACAUCCUCCUGUCUCAUCUCAUCAACAAUCAAGAUAACCGACUACACGAUGCAUCACACUUUCUUAUCUUGUGGAAAAAUUGUACAUUAUCUUGCAAAGUAUCAAAUUCAAGCUUAUGAAGAAGGCUUUUGAAGGUUGAUCAUUUGUAAGAGGGGCUAUCAAACAAG
Molecule: long non-coding RNA, 1296 nt
Organism: Capsicum annuum
Lineage: Eukaryota; Viridiplantae; Streptophyta; Magnoliopsida; Solanales; Solanaceae
Exons: 5
Source: RefSeq, a predicted model, not a curated record